GGGGCUGAUUCUGGAUUCGACGGGAUUUGCGAAACCCAAGGUGCAUGCCGAGGGGCGGUUGGCCUCGUAAAAAGCCGCAAAAAAUAGUCGCAAACGACGAAAACUACGCUUUAGCAGCUUAAUAACCUGCUUAGAGCCCUCUCUCCCUAGCCUCCGCUCUUAGGACGGGGAUCAAGAGAGGUCAAACCCAAAAGAGAUCGCGUGGAAGCCCUGCCUGGGGUUGAAGCGUUAAAACUUAAUCAGGCUAGUUUGUUAGUGGCGUGUCCGUCCGCAGCUGGCAAGCGAAUGUAAAGACUGACUAAGCAUGUAGUACCGAGGAUGUAGGAAUUUCGGACGCGGGUUCAACUCCCGCCAGCCCACCAA
This 363-nucleotide transfer-messenger RNA is filed under the name Escherichia coli K-12. It matches the Rfam family "transfer-messenger RNA". Rfam says of the family: Bacterial tmRNA, also known as 10Sa RNA or SsrA, is named for its dual tRNA and mRNA-like properties. Lineage: Bacteria; Pseudomonadati; Pseudomonadota; Gammaproteobacteria; Enterobacterales; Enterobacteriaceae. The record is from RNAcentral.